GAUGAACGCUGGCGGCGUGCCUAAUACAUGCAAGUCGAGCGAACGGACGAGAAGCUUGCUUCUCUGAUGUUAGCGGCGGACGGGUGAGUAACACGUGGAUAACCUACCUAUAAGACUGGGAUAACUUCGGGAAACCGGAGCUAAUACCGGAUAAUAUUUUGAACCGCAUGGUUCAAAAGUGAAAGACGGUCUUGCUGUCACUUAUAGAUGGAUCCGCGCUGCAUUAGCUAGUUGGUAAGGUAACGGCUUACCAAGGCAACGAUGCAUAGCCGACCUGAGAGGGUGAUCGGCCACACUGGAACUGAGACACGGUCCAGACUCCUACGGGAGGCAGCAGUAGGGAAUCUUCCGCAAUGGGCGAAAGCCUGACGGAGCAACGCCGCGUGAGUGAUGAAGGCCUUCGGAUCGUAAAACUCUGUUAUUAGGGAAGAACAUAUGUGUAAGUAACUGUGCACAUCUUGACGGUACCUAAUCAGAAAGCCACGGCUAACUACGUGCCAGCAGCCGCGGUAAUACGUAGGUGGCAAGCGUUAUCCGGAAUUAUUGGGCGUAAAGCGCGCGUAGGCGGUUUUUUAAGUCUGAUGUGAAAGCCCACGGCUCAACCGUGGAGGGUCAUUGGAAACUGGAAAACUUGAGUGCAGAAGAGGAAAGUGGAAUUCCAUGUGUAGCGGUGAAAUGCGCAGAGAUAUGGAGGAACACCAGUGGCGAAGGCGACUUUCUGGUCUGUAACUGACGCUGAUGUGCGAAAGCGUGGGGAUCAAACAGGAUUAGAUACCCUGGUAGUCCACGCCGUAAACGAUGAGUGCUAAGUGUUAGGGGGUUUCCGCCCCUUAGUGCUGCAGCUAACGCAUUAAGCACUCCGCCUGGGGAGUACGACCGCAAGGUUGAAACUCAAAGGAAUUGACGGGGACCCGCACAAGCGGUGGAGCAUGUGGUUUAAUUCGAAGCAACGCGAAGAACCUUACCAAAUCUUGACAUCCUUUGACAACUCUAGAGAUAGAGCCUUCCCCUUCGGGGGACAAAGUGACAGGUGGUGCAUGGUUGUCGUCAGCUCGUGUCGUGAGAUGUUGGGUUAAGUCCCGCAACGAGCGCAACCCUUAAGCUUAGUUGCCAUCAUUAAGUUGGGCACUCUAAGUUGACUGCCGGUGACAAACCGGAGGAAGGUGGGGAUGACGUCAAAUCAUCAUGCCCCUUAUGAUUUGGGCUACACACGUGCUACAAUGGACAAUACAAAGGGCAGCGAAACCGCGAGGUCAAGCAAAUCCCAUAAAGUUGUUCUCAGUUCGGAUUGUAGUCUGCAACUCGACUACAUGAAGCUGGAAUCGCUAGUAAUCGUAGAUCAGCAUGCUACGGUGAAUACGUUCCCGGGUCU
RNAcentral lists this ribosomal RNA (1372 nucleotides) under uncultured bacterium. Its description in RNAcentral is "bacterial SSU rRNA". It matches the Rfam family "Bacterial small subunit ribosomal RNA", at positions 28 to 1381 of the family's 1533-position model. The record is from RNAcentral.